This 875-nucleotide long non-coding RNA is filed under the name Helianthus annuus (common sunflower). RNAcentral's name for it is "hypothetical non coding rna". The record is from RNAcentral. Lineage: Eukaryota; Viridiplantae; Streptophyta; Magnoliopsida; Asterales; Asteraceae.
UUAAAGAAAAUCAGAGGAAUUUGGUGGUUUGAAGUGGUAGUGGAUGGGUUUCAUCAUAGAGCACGGGGACAUCUGAAGGUGGGUUCUGUUUUGUGACCUAUGUCACUGCAGCUUAAACACCCUGCUUCUGGGAUGUGGGUCGGACACAGGCACGGGCGUGCUCAUCUGGCAGUUUUUUGAAAAUUUUAACUUUGUCGAGUUUUGAAAGUUCGUUCCACCACUUAUUCGAUCUACAUGUCUAGGAAACUUACCUUUCAGAUUUCAACACAUGGAAACUUUUUGUAUGUGUUGAAGAAAAAACUGAUCAUUCUGAAGAUGACAAAGUCAACGGGUCUCUAAGAAGGAAGAUAUAAGACAAUAGAACGAAACAAAGAAAAGCUUCAUGUUCAACAAAGAUCAGAAAAUAUUCAUAAUCAAGAAAGGAUGAUCAAAAACGACCAAUUGAAUGUUUCUGAUGAUAAAUAUAUUAUUUAUCAUCAGAGUCCGAGUCUGGUAAAGUCUGAUCAUAUUUCUGAUGAUCAAGAAGCAUCAGAUUUAUGAUAAGGAGUUGGUCGGAAUUCUGAUGAAGCAACUUGAUAAAGAGAUAAGGUCUUUCACGAACUCCUAAGUGACUAGUGGACAUGAACGGAUUCAAUGAAUAUACCAAAAAGCCACUUUUCAUAACCAAGUGUAUGAAUAAAUAAAUGUUUAUUCAUACAUUACAUUCUCUAUAAAUAAAGAACAUAAAACCGAAGGGAAAAUGUCACAUACUACAAAACUCCACUGCCCUUCAUCACAUAUUUCUUUUGAGUAUUCGUUUGUAGUAGUCAAUAAUCUCACAAUCACCCUGUAAGCUUUUCAAAGUGAUAUAAACUUAAAAAAAUCUAUUUUUUUGU